Anguilla rostrata (American eel) is the source of this 2469-nucleotide long non-coding RNA. RefSeq lists it as uncharacterized. The transcript is spliced from 2 exons. The record is from RefSeq and is a predicted model, not a curated record. Lineage: Eukaryota; Metazoa; Chordata; Actinopteri; Anguilliformes; Anguillidae.
UAGUGGUGGGUCGGUGGUGAGUAGUAACCCAGGGCUGGGGGUGAGUAGGGCCAGGUUGUGGUGAGUAGGGUUGGGUCAGGGGUGAGUAGGGCCAGGACAGGGGUUAGUCGGGCUGGGUCGGGGGUGAGCAGGGCUGGGUUAGGGGUGAGUAAGGGCAGGUCUGGUUGAGUACAGGUGGGUCGGGAUGAGUAGCACUGGGUUGGGGGUGAGUAGCACCCGGUCGGGGGUGAGUUACCCCCCCUAUGGCACAUACUGUAGACCUAUCUGUAGCAAGCUGUCCUGGCCUACAGCCAUCGUCCUCUCCCACUCAAACACCCAUUGAUAGGGAAUAACCCCACUGCCCACUCCUACUAAAAGACCCAUCUAUAGGUAAUAAUCCCACUGCUCACUCCCACUCAAAGACCCAACUAUAGGGAGUAACCCCACUGGCCAAAGCCACUGUACUACAAAAACGGCUCUACAGUAAUUAAACCCACCCCAACUCACCACGGAGUACAGUCCUCUGGCUAGUGUCAACACCUGAAUAUUGCUGGAAAUAAAUAGAUGUUUGAAAACUGUCAGCAAUGUGCAGGAAUUUUACUGGUGUCUAAAGGGUUAAAGCGUUUAGAAUCAUUUAUUUUAUUUUAUUUUUUGAUAUUUUCCCCCAUUUUCUCCCCAAUUUAGUCAAUAUACCAAUUCCCCUUGUGUAUCACGGUCCUGGUCGAUGCGCUAUCCUCUGUUGGUCUGGGGAGGGUGUAGACUACCACAUGCCUCCUUCGAUACAUGUGGAUUCACCAGCCCCGCUUCUUUUCACCUGACAGCGAGGAGUUUCACUGGGAGAGCAUAACGCGCGCGGAGGUUCACGCUAUCUCCCCCAGAUCCCCUCCCUGCUGAACAGGCGCCCCGACCAACCAGUAGGAGUUGCUAAUGCAACGAUCAGGACUCAUACCCUCACCGGCUUCCCACCCGCGAACACUGCCAAUUGUGUUCGUAAGAAUGUCUGACCAAGCCGGAAGUACCGCUGCCGGGGAUUGAACCCGGCUCUCUGUGGUAGUAGGCGAGUGCUUCUACCUCUACACUACCCACACGGCCCCGGAAUCAUUAUUGGACUCGGAUCUGAAACUCCUCCACAGGGAGCAAACACCCAGGUUUCCAUUGCUUUUCACAUAUCUGGCAUGCAUCCAUGUGGCCCCUGCGAGAACAAGACACCCUGUUCCCUUCCGUGUGUGUGUAUCAUGUGCUUGAAUGUCUGGUUCUGAUUGGAGGCCAGAUGAGGCUACAGACCCUAGGAGCCCCCAGUGCAGGAGCGGUGGAAUGAGCUGCCCCCCCGCGGUUGUGCGAGUGGUGUUGGGCGGGUCGGUGUGUCCUCAGGCGACUCUGGAACGCCCAUGCUGGACCACUUAGCGAUCCUUUGUUUCACGUCCCCCCCCCCCGCCGGGCACUGUGAGAGAGGGGUCCUUGGCAGCUCUACUGCAGUAUGUCGACAUCUGCAUGAAAUGUGUGGACCCUGUUACUUCUUUAUUUACUUAACGGUGAAAAGAAAGGAAGGGAGAGUUUUCAUUAGGCUAUGGGGAAUUCCAGGGUAACUGAGGUUAAAAAUGCAGACUGUUUUAAUGGCCGUAAAGUCCAAUAGACACUGAUGGUUGUAAAAGUAUAUAUCAGUCUUUAUUGUGUAGCUCUAUUGGACUUCACCAUGCACUUAUCCUGCAGUUGUAAUGUUGGUUACAGUGGCCUUACCUCUGAUAAAUUACGUAUUAUAUAUAAAUGUAUAAAGUGUCCUUUUGAAGUGAAGAUAUUUCGGAACAGGACAGCUAGAAGACUUCUAGCUCCUUCUCCACUUUACUCUUGAUUUGACACUGUCGCAUUAGUUAACUUGCUACCUAGAUAGCUAGCAGAACACAGGGAAGUGUAAGGAAAGGGCACCAACUCAGAGAGGGAGGACACUUGACCGGUAAUUGAAGUGGUCUGGCUGACAGUGUGGUAUAUGAGGUAGUUUAGGUGUGAUGCAGGUGUAUGUGGAAAGAUACAGGUGUAUGUGGAGAGAUACAUGUGUGUGUGUGUGUGUGUGGAGAUACAGGUGUAUGUGGGGAAAUGCAGGUGUGUGUGGGGAGAUAGAGGUGAAUGCGGGGAGGUACAGAUGUAUGUGGGGAGAUACAGGUGUAUGUGGAGAGAUACAGAUGUAUGUGGGGAGAUACAGGUGUCUAUAGAGAGCUGCAGGUGUGUGUGGGGAGAUGCAGGUGUAUGUGGAUAGAGGUGUAUAUGGACAGAUACAGGUAUAUGUGGAUACAGGUAUAUGUGGGGAGAUACAGGUGAAUGUGGGGAGAUACAGGUGAAUGUGGACAGAUACAGGUGAAUGUGGAUACAGGUAUAUGUGGACAGAUAUAGGUGAAUGUGGAUACAGGUAUAUGUGGACAGAUACAGGUGAAUGUGGAUACAGGUAUAUGUGGGGAGAUACAGGUGAAUGUGGCUAGAGGUGUAUGUGGGGAGAUA